UACGUGGGUGGCAAGCGUUGUUCGGAAUUAUUGGGCGUAAAGGGCGCGUAGGCGGUUUGUUAAGUCGGCUGUGAAAGCCCGGGGCUCAACCCCGGAGGGUCAGCCGAUACUGGCAGACUAGAGUACGGAAGAGGUAGCUGGAAUUCCCGGUGUAGCGGUGAAAUGCGUAGAUAUGUGGAGGAACACCGAUGGCGAAGGCAGCCCCCUGGGAUGUGACUGACGCUCAUGUACGAAAGCGUGGGGAGCAAACAGG
This 253-nucleotide ribosomal RNA is filed under the name uncultured bacterium. Its description in RNAcentral is "partial 16S ribosomal RNA". It matches the Rfam family "Bacterial small subunit ribosomal RNA", at positions 524 to 776 of the family's 1533-position model. The record is from RNAcentral.